Molecule: long non-coding RNA, 1328 nt
Organism: Anas platyrhynchos (mallard)
Lineage: Eukaryota; Metazoa; Chordata; Aves; Anseriformes; Anatidae
Source: RefSeq, a predicted model, not a curated record
GACUGUUGGGUUUUCAGAUGUAUAUGUAAAUGUAUCCCAGCCUACAGCUUGAAUGUGUGCUAUUUGCUCCACCUGUUCUGUGUUUGCAAAGUGUGAUUCAAUCCCCUCUAUCAGAUGGCACUGUUUAGAUUCCCUCGUCGUCUGGCAAAAACAUUGAAAGGUGAAGAAAAAGUCAGGUUCAAGCAAUGUGGACAAGCUACAGUUUGUCUCAUCAGCACAAGCAAGCAAGGGCUUUGAAGGCUAAAGAAAAGAGUGGAUAAACAGUUAUUCUUUUUGUCAUCUGUUGUAAUGAUAGACAAAAAAUGGCUGUCAUCCUCAGCAAGCCCCUUUCCCAGAACCAUUCCCUGACUCCAAAGUAUCCCAUAAUAAAAAUAACAACAAAAACCCCGGAGUUCAUAUUCAGUCACCUCAUUCCAUCAUUCUUUUUACCUCAGAAACAUUGGAAGAAACAGAAACAUUCCUUCGUGAACCCCUCUCUUCUGCAAUAGACUGCAUGAAAAGCAAGAAAGCAGGGAAAUAAAGGGAAAAAUUUCCUGCAGGAAGUUGGCACAUUGUCUUUAGCAGUGCUACCCACUUCCCUUCCUGGAGCUUGUUUCUUCUGACAGCAAUACCGGAUGGCUUAGCGACUCUGCAAAUGGUGAGACAAAUGUACUGUGGAGCAAAAAAAUAUUUCCUCGUAGCCAUGUCAGGUUGUUCUCCUCUGCCUCCCCCGCUGUUAAGAGCUACUGGUGUCUCGCAGCCAUCUGGUGCAGGAUUCAAGACUUCCUGCUGAUAACCCUGGCCAGUCCUGGCAUCGCUGUGCACUUGAAACAGGUUUUGAGGUAUUUGUACAAAGCUAGGAAAGCAGUGGAAAGGCUAGAGGAAAAUGAGUGGGAAGGUGCGAGGUGGAGACAAGACAGGCUGGUGAUGCAGGAGGCCUCCACGUGUUUCUCCUUUUUAGAGGAUAAAAGACAGGGUUUUGCCAAGCAGCGAUUCCUGAUGGGAUGCAGCUGUGGGAGAAUACAGCAGUAGCUGACAUGGCUCCUCUUUAUUCCCUACUGGGGAAUGGAUAUGCAGACAGAUUUACAGAGAAACCCAAGGACUUAAAGCCCUUAGGAUGAAAGAAGGUCUGAGAAACCAUCUGCCUCAGUUUCUUCCACCAGCUCCUCACCAUCUGAUGGUACUCCUGAGUGACAGUGGGGAAGCUAAAGAAACACUUGUAGUAUGUUUAGGCUACUGCGCUUUAGACUACUUUGUUAAUGCACUUUUAUUUUUUUUUUCAUCCCACAGGCAUAGAGGAAUGUCUCAUACUUAAUAAAUGAUUAAAUUGGCUAUGUCAGAAUAUGUAA